Molecule: long non-coding RNA, 385 nt
Organism: Mustela lutreola (European mink)
Lineage: Eukaryota; Metazoa; Chordata; Mammalia; Carnivora; Mustelidae
Exons: 3
Source: RefSeq, a predicted model, not a curated record
UCCCGCGGAACCACGGGUCGUGGGGGCUCGCAGGCCGGGCGCCCUGGCAGACUCUGGGCGCCCCGGGCCGGACCCGCGCCCUGCCUGCUGGGGCCACCCCUCGGCCGGGGCAGGCUCCCAGACCCCAGCACCCGCUUCCUCCCCGGGGCGGAGCCCGGCGGCCGCAAGCCAAGCGCCGUAAAAUUUAAAGAGGCUGUCUCUCAAAGGGAAGGAGUCCCUACCCAGGCAUAUGGCAGCUUGAUGCAAACAUGCAUGGUGCCUUGAAAGGUGGGAACCAAAAAUGGAAGAAGACGGGGUCUACACCUUGCCGCUUGAAGGAGAGAUGCCCACUGGUCAGGAACACCCAUUUGGGAUUUAUAGAAGCCAGAAAUAAACUUUUAUCGUG